This 322-nucleotide ribosomal RNA is filed under the name uncultured eukaryote. RNAcentral's name for it is "partial 18S ribosomal RNA". It matches the Rfam family "Eukaryotic small subunit ribosomal RNA", at positions 1470 to 1796 of the family's 1831-position model. The record is from RNAcentral.
CCCUUAGAUGUUCUGGGCCGCACGCGUGCUACACUGAGUGGAUCAGCGGGUCAGGUUGCGCGAAAGUGUUUCCUAAUCUUGAAAUCCGCUCGUGAUGGGGAUUGACGGUUGCAAUUUUCCGUCAUGAACGAGGAAUACCUUGUAAGCGCGGGUCAUCAUCCCGCGCUGAAUACGUCCCUGCCCUUUGUACACACCGCCCGUCGCUCCUACCGAUGGAGUGGUCCGGUGAGGCUUUGGGAUCUGAGCAAAAAGAGCGUUUCGCUCGUUUGGCUCGGAAAACUCAGUCGAACCUUAUCAUUUAGAGGAAGGAGAAGUCGUAACA